AAUCAACGCUGGCGGCGUGCCUCAGACAUGCAAGUCGAACGAUUAAAGCUCUCUUCGGAGAGUGUAUAGAGUGGCGCACGGGUGAGUAACACGUAAGUAAUCUACCUUUGAGUGGGGACUAACCCGGGGAACCCGAGCUAAUACCGCAUAAUGCAGCGGCACCGCAAGGUGACAGUUGUUAAAGGAGCAAUCCGCUUAAAGAGGAGCUUGCGGCAGAUUAGCAGUUGGUAAGGUAAUGGCUUACCAAGGCUUCGAUCUGUAUCCGGCCUGAGAGGGCGGUCGGACACACUGACACUGAAUAACGGGUCAGACUCCUACGGGAGGCAGCAGUCGGGAAUUUUGGGCAAUGGGCGAAAGCCUGACCCAGCAACGCCGCGUGAAGGAUGAAGUAUUUCGGUAUGUAAACUUCGAAAGAAUGGGAAGAAUCAAUGACGGUACCAUUUAUAAGGUCCGGCUAACUACGUGCCAGCAGCCGCAGUAAGACCUAAGACUGCCAAGGCAC
This 502-nucleotide ribosomal RNA is filed under the name uncultured bacterium. Its description in RNAcentral is "bacterial SSU rRNA". It matches the Rfam family "Bacterial small subunit ribosomal RNA", at positions 36 to 538 of the family's 1533-position model. The record is from RNAcentral.